Arachis ipaensis is the source of this 685-nucleotide non-coding RNA. NCBI's taxonomy places the organism in Eukaryota, Viridiplantae, Streptophyta, Magnoliopsida, Fabales, Fabaceae. The record is from RefSeq and is a predicted model, not a curated record.
UUCUAACAAAAAAAAAGAAAAAAAGUAACACUGUUGAAAACAAUUUAAAUUCAUCAAAGUUGAUCCGUGAGCCCCUUUUAAGCCAAUAUUGGCAUCCACUGUUGCAAUAUACAUCAAUUAUGGAGGUUGCCUAAUUAUUGUUCGUCCUUGUCGUCAGUGCGUGUAGCUCUUGUUGUAGUCCCACUGAAAAAGAAGGCAUUUUGUCCCGUUCUAUUCGGAUUCAUAUUGAGGAGUUUUCUAUCUUCUUGUGUUGCGGUUUCAUCACGGAGGUAAAGAGAAUACCAAAACUUUCUCCUUAGCAUAAAGUGAAGUUGAAGUAGACAAUUCUUCGGAAGAUAAUGAGAAUGAUUAUAAAAACGGCCAAGCUCAUUCUGAUGAGGAUAUUUUUCGAUAUGAAGAUGUGUUGGGUUUAGUGAAGAUGAGAUACUAAAGAAGGUCUUUUGAACCGAAGAGUGCGGGUACGAGUUCUACAUGAAAUUGGAGAAAUGUCAUGGAUUUGGUAUCUAUCAAGGAGAUUACGGGAAGAAUGAAGCUGGAAAUGUAAUUAGAAGAAGGUUCUUUUGCAAUAGGACAUGGUUGAGGGAUGAAAAGCACUACAACAAAUUAGAUUGGAGGAGAUCCCACAGGCCGCACUACCAAAAAAAAAAAAAGGUUAAAAUGGCGGUUUUUAUGGGAAUUACGGCGG